Molecule: long non-coding RNA, 705 nt
Organism: Leopardus geoffroyi (Geoffroy's cat)
Lineage: Eukaryota; Metazoa; Chordata; Mammalia; Carnivora; Felidae
Exons: 4
Source: RefSeq, a predicted model, not a curated record
CUCAUGAACCACGAGAUCAUGACCUGAGCCAAAGUUGGGUGCUUAACUGACUGAGCCACCCAGGUGCUCCAUGAAUUCUUAUUAUUGAUUCUGUGCCGGUGCUGGGUACCCAAAGAGCACAUCUUAGUCAUGUGAGGCGUCUGUCAACUAUCGGGAGCCCAGGUGAGAGGGAGAUUCCAUGGGACUUGUGUCACCAUGGGAAUGGAACAUGAGAGGAUUCUUAGGGGAAAUGGAGUUGUGUCUCCUGAUGUUUGGGAAACCAUGGGUUUCAAGAAGAGCACCAUUUGGCAUCGUAUUUGUCCAAAGUGAACAAAGGCAUCAUCCUGGACCAUGAAGGAGGUAACACAAGAAGAUGGAAAAUGUCAAGAAACUGAGUCUCAAAUAUUUGAUGGAAGUCUACCUGGGUCUAAAGCUUGGGCUUCUAACCAAGCCACAACAUAAUGUUUGAAUCUAAGGAAAUAUCCUGCCAUCGGAUGGAGCCACUCCAUUUCUUCCUCUGUGAGUUCUCUUCAUGCUUGGUGAAAGGUGUGGCACUUUUGUUUUCUUUUUCAUUUUGCUCCUUAAAUCGGUGACAACACUGCAUAGCAAUUAAGGCCCUGAUGGUUGGAGUUUGGCUGAACUUGGGUUUGAAUUCUAGCAAUGAUUUCAUGGAUAUGAAACCAGAAACACAGGCAACAAAAGUAAAAAUAGACCCAUGGUUCCACA